CAGGUCGCUUCGCCGUAAACUCCAACCCUGAACGAACUGCAGUUGCUCGGGGAGCCCUCAAGGAGGACGCGGGACUGAAACUCUUGUAACUACAUCUGAUUACUUAUUAAUAAGUA
Molecule: unclassified non-coding RNA, 116 nt
Filed under: soil metagenome
Description: partial internal transcribed spacer 1
Source: RNAcentral